UCCUGAGCAACGAUCGUCGUCUCAGGGUAAGUCGGGACCUAAGCCGAGGCGGAAAAGCGUAGGCGAUGGACAACAGGUUGAAAUUCCUGUACCGGUGUGAAUCGUUUGAUCGAUGGAGUGACACAGUAAGGUAGGUCAGCACGCGAUUGGAAGAGCGUGUUUAAGCAGGUAGGUUGAGCUAUAGGCAAAUCCGUAGCUCUAAAAGCUGAGAUGUGAUGACGAGCGACUAGCAAUAGUCGCGAAGUGAUUGAUCCUACACUGUCGAGAAAAGCUUCUAGGUAGAGACACAUCGCCCGUACCAAAACCGACACAGGUAGGCGGGGAGAGAAUCCUAAGGUGCGCGGGAAAACCCUCGUUAAGGAACUCGGCAAAAUGCCUCCGUAACUUCGGGAAAAGGAGGACUCAUGUAGUGUGAAGAGCAGAAGCGCUUGGAGCAUGAAUGAGUGGCACAAGAGAGGCGCAAGCGACUGUUUACCACAAACACAGGUGCCUGCUAAAGCGAAAGCUGAUGUAUAGGUGCUGACACCUGCCCGGUGCUGGAAGGUUAAGAGGAGGGGUUAGACUUCGGUCGAAGCUCUGAAUUGAAGCCCCAGUAAACGGCGGCCGUAACUAUAACGGUCCUAAGGUAGCGAAAUUCCUUGUCGGGUAAGUUCCGACCCGCACGAAAGGUGUAACGACUUGCGCACUGUCUCAACGAGGGACCCGGUGAAAUUGAAGUACCUGUGAAGAUGCAGGUUACCCGCGACUGGACAGAAAGACCCCAUGGAGCUUUACUGCAACCUAAGAUUGAACUUAGUUAAUGAAUGUACAGGAUAGGUGGGAGACGUAGAACCUAGGACGCUAGUUUUAGGGGAGUCGCUGUUGGGAUACCACCCUUUCAUUAAUUGAUUUCUAACGGGCCGAGUAACGACCGGCCGGACAGUCUUAGGCGGGCAGUUUGACUGGGGCGGUCGCCUCCAAAAGAGUAACGGAGGCGCCCAAAGGUUCCCUCAGAGCGGACGGAAAUCGCUCGAAGAGUGUAAAGGCAGAAGGGAGCUUGACUGCGAGACGGACAGGUCGAGCAGGGACGAAAGUCGGGCUUAGUGAUCCGGUGGUGCCGAGUGGAAGGGCCAUCGCUCAACGGAUAAAAGCUACCCUGGGGAUAACAGGCUAAUCUCUCCCAAGAGUCCAUAUCGACGGGGAGGUUUGGCACCUCGAUGUCGGCUCAUCACAUCCUGGGGCUGAAGUAGGUCCCAAGGGUUCGGCUGUUCGCCGAUUAAAGUGGUACGUGAGCUGGGUUCAGAACGUCGUGAGACAGUUCGGUCCCUAUCCAUCGCGGGCGUAAGAAACUUGAAGGGGGCUGCUCCUAGUACGAGAGGACCGGAGUGGACGAACCGCUGGUGUACCAAUUAUCCUGCCAAGGGUACAGUUGGGUAGCUACGUUCGGGACGGAUAAACGCUGAAAGCAUCUAAGCGUGAAACCAGCCUUGAGAUGAGGUUUCUCAUAGCGUAAGCUAGUAAGAUCCCAUGUAGACGACAUGGUAGAUAGGCCAGGUGUGGAAGAGCCGUGAGGUUUGGAGCUGACUGGUACUAAUCGAUCGAGGGCUUUACUUA
RNAcentral lists this ribosomal RNA (1593 nucleotides) under human gut metagenome. RNAcentral describes it as "bacterial LSU rRNA". It matches the Rfam family "Bacterial large subunit ribosomal RNA", at positions 1353 to 2925 of the family's 2925-position model. The record is from RNAcentral.